AUGAAUCUUGAAUCCGUAUUGAGUCCAGCACUACCAUGGAGCUACAUCGCCUGCGGCCUCUUGGGCCUGGCGCUCCUGUGGCCAACCAUCCGACUGCUAGACCAGCUGUGGUGGCGGCCGAGGCGCCUGGAGCGGGCUCUUCGCGCCCAGGGCCUUCGUGGGACGUCAUACAGUUUCCUCCUCGGCGACAUGAGUGACUACGGCAGGCAAAACAAAGAGGCAUGGUCCAAGCCCCUGCCGCUGCGCUGCCACGACAUCGGCGCCCACGUCUUGCCUUUCCUCUACAACACCGUCGAGGAGCACGGCAAGCAGUGCAUCUCCUGGUUCGGUCCGGUUCCCCACUGA
RNAcentral lists this ribosomal RNA (345 nucleotides) under Triticum aestivum (bread wheat). Its description in RNAcentral is "partial small subunit ribosomal RNA". The record is from RNAcentral. Lineage: Eukaryota; Viridiplantae; Streptophyta; Magnoliopsida; Poales; Poaceae.